AUGAUGAAUUUUACGGAGGAUGCUCCUGUAAAGAAAGGCUCUGUUCUCUUAACAAGGAUGGAAAGAACUCCAGAACAAUCUGACAUUCCAGUGUCUGCUAAUGACAUGUGUUCCCUUGCUGAAUGGCCAUCCCAUGCUCGCCGCAACCAAGCUGGUGGACAGAAGAAGAAAGGGCGAGGUGUUCUAAAAGGUUUUAAAGCAUCUAAGAAGCGUUCUGCCAAUGGAUCUGCAAAGCUAAAUAUUACAUUCUCUGAAAAAUUGGGUGGUACAGACAGAUGGGACCUGGAAGAUACACCAGAAAUAGAAGAAAAAGUUCUCAAAAUUGCGAAAGAGAGAUAUAGAGGCUGGCGAUCAACUCUAAGCUCCACUUACAAGGCAUACAAAACAGAUGCAGCUAGAUUGGCUAAUCUGUCAGAAGAUUUACAACCAGAAGAGUGGGAAUGGAUGAUUGAGUACUUUGGCACUGAUUCAAAAUUUCAGGUUAUCUCUAAGAUCACGAUUUGUCUAUUAUGUGUUAAGGAACGCAGCCAAAAGAACGUUGAUAACCGUAAGAAACAGAAGACAAAACAUAUAAUCAGAUCAAAAUCUUACUCGCAAGUUAGUUUUGAGAAGAGAAACUUGGAAAGUGGAGAAGAGCCAGAUUGUAUUGCUCUAUGGGAACUCACCCACACAAAUGAUGGAACAUGGUCUAACACAGAUUCCCAGAAAGUUUACGACCAAGCACUUCAAGAGGUUAAAAACAAAGAAGCUGAAACUGAAGGUCCACUUUCAAGUGAGCAGAAAAACAAUGUUUUCCAGACCGCUUACAAAGACACUCUGGAAUGCAAGUCAUCGCAGCCUCGUGGGUACGGAUACAUGGCCAAAACUUCAACUGGUUCUGAAAAGUUCCGUAUCCAGAUUGAAGAGCAAGCUCGUGCUACAGCAGCCACCCAGGAGCGAAACUCUCAGCUCAGCCAGCAGGUCAAUGACUUAGAAGAUCAACUACAAGCUGAACGCGCUAACACACAAGAGAGGAUUAACUUGGAGCAUGCUGAGAGAGAACAACUUGAGGAGAGGUUAAAAGAAGAGCGUGCUGAAAGGGAAAGAUUGUUGCAAGAGGAGCGAACAUCAAGACUGGAAUUUGAAAAAAACAUUAUGGCAAAGUUUGUACAAUUGAGCAAACAGAUGGAAACCCAACAGGCGAUGACAUCUAGUCCUAAUAAGACUCCAGGUUCAAGGCCGACUGCUAUUUCUUCAAAUGCUCUCAUACAAGCUGCAGCAAGGCAAUCUCGAAUGUUUAAAGCAAUAGAUGUCAUGAUCAUGCGUGUGAUGCCUUCGCUGAUGAGUCCACUGCAAUGUCCCAUGUAG
RNAcentral lists this ribosomal RNA (1347 nucleotides) under Triticum aestivum (bread wheat). RNAcentral describes it as "partial small subunit ribosomal RNA". The record is from RNAcentral. Lineage: Eukaryota; Viridiplantae; Streptophyta; Magnoliopsida; Poales; Poaceae.